This 492-nucleotide ribosomal RNA is filed under the name uncultured bacterium. RNAcentral's name for it is "partial 16S ribosomal RNA". It matches the Rfam family "Bacterial small subunit ribosomal RNA", at positions 29 to 507 of the family's 1533-position model. The record is from RNAcentral.
AGUGAACGCUGGCGGUAGGCCUAACACAUGCAAGUCGAACGGCAGCACAGUAAGAGCUUGCUCUUACGGGUGGCGAGUGGCGGACGGGUGAGGAAUACAUCGGAAUCUACUUUUUCGUGGGGGAUAACGUAGGGAAACUUACGCUAAUACCGCAUACGACCUACGGGUGAAAGCAGGGGAUCUUCGGACCUUGCGCGAUUGAAUGAGCCGAUGUCGGAUUAGCUAGUUGGCGGGGUAAAGGCCCACCAAGGCGACGAUCCGUAGCUGGUCUGAGAGGAUGAUCAGCCACACUGGAACUGAGACACGGUCCAGACUCCUACGGGAGGCAGCAGUGGGGAAUAUUGGACAAUGGGCGCAAGCCUGAUCCAGCCAUACUGCGUGGGUGAAGAAGGCCUUCGGGUUGUAAAGCCCUUUUGUUGGGAAAGAAAAGCAGCAGGUUAAUACCCCGCUGUUCUGACGGUACUCAAAGAAUAAGCACCGGCUAACUUCGUG